UACAGAGGUCCCGAGCGUUGUUCGGAUUCACUGGGCGUAAAGGGUGCGUAGGUGGCCUGAAAAGUUUGAUGUGAAAGCUCAGGGCUUAACCCUGAAAUGGCAUUGAAUACUGCGGGCUGGAGGUUUGGAGGGGGGACUGGAAUUCUUGGUGUAGCAGUGAAAUGCGUAGAUAUCAAGAGGAACACCAGUGGCGAAGGCGAGUCCCUGGACAACACCUGACACUGAGGCACGAAAGCUAGGGGAGCAAACAGG
This 252-nucleotide ribosomal RNA is filed under the name uncultured bacterium. Its description in RNAcentral is "partial 16S ribosomal RNA". It matches the Rfam family "Bacterial small subunit ribosomal RNA", at positions 524 to 776 of the family's 1533-position model. The record is from RNAcentral.